This is a long non-coding RNA of Dreissena polymorpha, 3932 nucleotides long. RefSeq lists it as uncharacterized. The transcript has 4 exons. Lineage: Eukaryota; Metazoa; Mollusca; Bivalvia; Myida; Dreissenidae. The record is from RefSeq and is a predicted model, not a curated record.
CUUUUCAGCAACCGCUAGAAAUACCUCUAGAGCCAGCAAAAUUUCACAAACCAGACAUUCGCAUGUUCACAUCAUACUGAUGAGUUAGAGAGUGUAAAGAAGUCGGAUGAUAAGCGAGAUGAUGGGCGAGAUAAUCGAAGUGCACUUUUUUUAGCUGAUCUGACAAGAUUAUUUACAACAUUACGUUGUUGGCGAAAGAUGUGCCAGUGUCGGUCUAAAUUGGUAGCCUUGGCUUUUUUUGUAUGCUCGUUUGCGGCGUCGGAUUUCCUUGUGAAUAUUUUAGGUAGCCAUGGAGGAUCAGCUGUUCUUAUUGUAACUAUUUUGUGUGGGAUUGUAGUUUCGCAGAAACAUAUAAGUUGACGUGUGAAAUUUGAGGUAUAUAUGUCAAUAUUAUUAUCGCAGCAACUGUUCCAAUCCAAGUUCUGCACAACUUGCCUUAGUUUAGUGUAGUCUCCAUCUUUAUAUCGCCAGAUUUUACGUUUAAAAUUAGACCUAGCUGUUCUAUUGACGUUUAUGACGCAGUAGACUUGACAAUGAAAUCUAAGUUGCUGGUUAAUAAAACGUUCUCCAACCACACUUGAAGAUGUUAUCAUAAAAAGAUCAAGAAUGGAAUUUGAGGUUUCAGUAAAAUGAGUAGGUUCUUUAAUAAUCUGUGUGAGAUUUUACUGUAAAAGAAGGGAGUUCAUUUUGAUCCUGCACUGUGUUUUAUUCAUGUCGAAAUUAAAAUCACCUGUGAUAACAACGUUAUCAAUACCGGCUAGUGAAAUCGAAUCGUUUAUACAUUCUAGAAGUUAAGGACUAGAGUUUGGUGGUCUGUAUAAAGAGCCAGAUAAAAGACGCCUUCCCUUGAUACGUAAUUUAACCCAUAUACAUUCUAGAUCGUCAAUUUGUAGGUCAGGUUGCUCGAUGGCAGAGUUCAGAUUUUAUGUAUACUAGAAUACCUCCAUGGGGAUCGUUUCUUCUAUCCCGUCUGAACGGCUUAUGAUACGAAGGAAAAAAUAAGUUGGCAGUGUCAACUGUUGAGCUGAGCCAAGUUUCAGUAAAGACUAUAAUAUCAAAAUUAUUAAGAUCAGCAUACAGAAUAUCUUUCUUGGGGAGGAACUUCUGAACGUUGUUAUGAACAGUUUUUAGAUUAUGUGUAAAUGCAUCAGUUAUUGAAGAUGGGAAAUAUGUACCCAAAGAUGAGGAGUCGAUAUGAAGGGAGCUGACGCUUCCAGGAUUUUGAUGGACAUUGCCUCCUCUAAGAAGAAGAAUUGCCAGCCAGCAGACUAACUCGAACAUAUUCAUUGGUUGAAGCCCUUUAAUUUUCAUAGUAAGAGAGUAGAACAAACCUAUCCUAAUCCUGUACACUCCUAUGUCAGUGUACAUCAUGUAAUGCCCGAGUGUAAUUAAUAAUUGGAUGAGAAAAAACUAUCCUGCGCCCGACCUGAAAGAAGUGGAAGAUUGAGUGGAGGAAUAUUGAGAAGAGAAGAAUAACAAAAAUUAACAAUACGUUUGGUCAGGUUGAUGUGUUAAAACCUCAUUUGAUAAAUUUAUAUGUUGGGCAUGUCUAAAUGAUACAAAAAGUGAAGCUUAUAAUUAGAUGAUCGCGUAGUAACAUAAUAGUACAAUAAUCUACGCAACAUGGGCUUAGUACUUGGGCACACCGAAAAAUGACAAGCUUUUUCAAAAGCUUGAAGUAUAUAUGCUACUGCGGCUUCAUUGGGCUUAUAAUUUUAUUUUUAUUUUCUCUGUGACAGGCGUUUCUUGUUUGAUUUAUUUUUUUGCAGUACAUAAACAACCAAGCAAUGUAAUAUGGAACUUUUACACCGAUUAUUGCUGCUUCUUCCUGUAUUUGUGCGAUGAUGAUCUGAAAUAUAAACUAUAUGAUGCUAUAUUUUUAAAUCUUUUUCUAUAAAGAAGGAAUGUAUUUGACACUUGUUCAUAGUUUCAUUCCAUCGUGCCUCAAAAAGUUGUAACUCUGUUGCUCUGGUAUCUUCAAUACCGUUGAGUAAUUAAAUUGUAAUUAAAUUGAAUACGUUUUAAUUCCCUUUUAUUAUUGUUUAAUUUGAGUUACAAUGCUAUGAGGUUAAAUUUUAUUUACACUUAAAUGUAUUAUGAAUAUUGCUGGGCCAAGUGUGAGGUUGAGCGCUCCUAAACCGGUUUAAGCCCCCAAUGCUUUGCAUUGACCGUUCCAAGGCGGUGACCCCAGCUUUAUUCUUAUUUGUGUUUAUGUUGUUUUGUAUUGUGCUGUAUUGUGCUGUUUUGUACUGUUUGGGCAAUCGGUCACUUGCCUUAAAUAAAGGACCUACUAAUUGUUUAUAGUAAUAAUUCAAUGCUACUCCAGCAGCUGGAGUUUUACUUCUUUAUAUUGUUAACGGUAUAGUCUGUGUUUGUAAAAAUGUGCAUGAUUUCCGCAAGCUGGAAGAAUACAUGUAUACUAAGAGUGUGUCGAUGGAUUGUAGAUUACAGUUUAGGCACAAGUUAGGAGUGAGUGAUCGUGUAAAUUGUAUUUUUCCUUAAUAAGAGUUUACAAAUAAUGUCGAGUGAAAUGGAUUUUGAAAAGUGCAUCUAAUUGAAUGAUUUUUAUUGAAAUGUGUGUAGUUGCAUUUACAAAAUAAAAUAAAAAUGGAUGUGUGUGUUCACCAAAGUGUUACUAUUCAUUUUUCGAGCUUGUAGAUUUAUUAUUUCGUGGAUGUAUUACCAGCUGACGUGGGCUUUAUUGCACACCACAGUUGAAAGCAGCAUUUGGACAGAUAUGUACAAGAAUUGAGUCUGGAAAGGGCGAGCUCUAAGACAGUACAUCCAGUGUUGCCAUACCACGUGGUCCGUGACGUCAUUUUGGCUAGCACGCCAAGUAGAAAAUUGUAAACAUUCAUCCGCUUAGAAACUUAAAAUCCACGAAUCAUGAGACCAAAAACCAACUCUCAAACUCGGAAAGUAAAGCAAGCGUACCCAGACGAGACGUCAGCAACACGACUGUCCAACGUGGAUGUAAUCUUGGAUCAAACCAAAGAUGAAAUAUUCAAUAAGUGAAAUAUGAAUACAAAAACACACAUAAUGUUUACUCAUCACACAGUCCCAGUCGAAAUGCUGUUGCAUGGUAAACAUUAGGAGUACGUUGGGACAGUGCGAGAAGAAGCGAGAGCAAGUUGUUACCUACUUCUAGACUUGGACUCGACAUAAAAGAAAUUUAAUCAGAUUUACUCUUUGUGUAGAAUUCCUUGUUUUAGAGGGAUUGCAAUCAGGUAGCUUGACUUAAGAUAAAACAGACAUUUAAAUAUAUAUUUAUUCAUGUGCAUUUUGUGUUUUAAUUUGUCAAGUAUUGUUGGUGUACAUUAGAAAUGACAUUAGAUGGUGUUUUAAGACAUUUUUUUCGGACAAUUUGAUAAGGAAUUAUUCUCGUUCGCAUAUAGUAGUACACUGCAAAAAUGAAUAUAAAACGGAUAUUUUGGAAGAUUAAAAAUGUGCUUGUCGGGCGUGCGUGCAUUGUAACGUAAAAACUAGCAAUUUGCCUCGAAUAAUAGACCAAACUACUAUGCGCUUUAUUUUGUCAAAAUAGAGUAAAUAAUAAGAUACUUACGUGGAUUUGAAGUUUCUUAGCGGAUGAAUGUUUACAAUUUUCUACUUGGCGUGCUAGCCAAAAUGACGUCACGGACCACAUGGUACGGCCAUCCUGACAUCGGUUAAUUUGUACUUGCGUGUAAGAAGUAGUUCUGAAGAAUCUUUCUUGUUAAAACGUGUUGAUUUCCAUAAAUAUUUCAAAUAUUAAACAUUAUAGUCGUUAAAGUAUGAUAUUUUAUUUAAAAAUGAUUCAACGUUGUUUAUCAAUAAACUAUUGCAUCAAAAAGUUUAAAAACGUGAGUUGAUCUGGCAUUAUAACGUCAUACCAACGUCAGCGUAUUACGUGACAUUGUAUUGUAUUGUGUAUUUUAAAUAUCUCUAAAAAAAGU